GAUGAAGAACGUAGCGAAAUGCGAUAAGUAAUGCGAAUUGCAGAAUUUCCGUGAGUCAUCGAAUCUUUGAACGCACAUUGCGCCCCUUGGUAUUCCAUGGGGCAUGCCUGUUCGAGCGUCAUUUGUACCUUCAAGCUUUGCUUGGUGUUGGGUGUUUGUCUCGCCUCCGCGUGUAGACUCGCCUCAAAACAAUUGGCAGCCGGCGUAUUGAUUUCGGAGCGCAGUACAUCUCGCGCUUUGCACUCACAACGACGACGUCCAAAAGUACAUUUUUACACUCUUGACCUCGGAUCAGGUAGGGAUACCCGCUGAACUUAAGCAUAUCAAUAAGCGGAGGA
This 338-nucleotide unclassified non-coding RNA is filed under the name soil metagenome. RNAcentral's name for it is "partial contains 5.8S ribosomal RNA, internal transcribed spacer 2, and large subunit ribosomal RNA". The stretch from base 1 to 121 matches the Rfam family "5.8S ribosomal RNA", at positions 35 to 154 of the family's 154-position model. The record is from RNAcentral.